RNAcentral lists this ribosomal RNA (512 nucleotides) under Conocephalus chinensis. RNAcentral's name for it is "partial 16S ribosomal RNA". It matches the Rfam family "Bacterial large subunit ribosomal RNA", at positions 1829 to 2597 of the family's 2925-position model. Lineage: Eukaryota; Metazoa; Arthropoda; Insecta; Orthoptera; Tettigoniidae. The record is from RNAcentral.
UUUCUUUUUGAAUUUAUAAAAAGUAAGGCCUGCCCACUGAUGUUUUAAAGGGCCGCGGUACUUUGACCGUGCAAAGGUAGCAAAAUCAUUAGUCUUUUAAUUGAAGGCUGGAAUGAACGGUUUAAUGAAAUAAAUGCUGUCUCAAAUUUAUAGAUUUGAAGUUAACUUUUUAGUAAGAAGGCUAUAAAUACUUAUAAAGGACGAGAAGACCCUAUAGAGUUUUAUUUAAUAUAUAUUUAGUUUAUAUUUAGAUGUAAAUAAUAAAUUGAUUAUUUAUUAUAAUUUGUUGGGGUGACAUGAAGAAUUAAUAAACUCUUUAUUUAUGUUAAACAUAGAUUAAUGGUUAAUUGAUCCAUUAUUAUUGAUUAAGAGAUUAAAUUACCUUAGGGAUAACAGCGUAAUUUUUUUUGAGAGUUCUUAUCGACAAAAAAGAUUGCGACCUCGAUGUUGGAUUAAGAAUAUUAUUAGGUGUAGCAGCUUAAUAAAUAAGUCUGUUCGACUUUUGAAUUCUU